Molecule: long non-coding RNA, 4258 nt
Organism: Sorghum bicolor (sorghum)
Lineage: Eukaryota; Viridiplantae; Streptophyta; Magnoliopsida; Poales; Poaceae
Exons: 5
Source: RefSeq, a predicted model, not a curated record
CCCGAUGCCUCGCAUCCUCCCGACGCUGCCCUGUUCCCGAUCCCACAAAUUCUCCCGAUGUCGCCACGGUCCGCACAAAUUCUCCCGAUGUCGCCCCAUACCUGACGCCCGACCCUCGCUCGCACCUCCCCACGAUCCGAGCUCACUCCAGACGGUUUUGCGGCUUCCCAACAUCGCCUCCGUCCUCUCCCCGUCCGUCGUCCAGGCCUCAGGGCGCCCUCACAGGCUCCAGCAGACGGUUUUCGCUGCGUCCUCCUCGCGCGAGUCCGUCGGCGGAAGGUGCCUCCGAGCGUCGCGAGUCCGGGGCGUCCUCCGAGCGUCGGCGGAAGGUGCCUCCGAGCGUCGCGAGUCUGUCGGCGGAAGGUGCCUCCGAGCAUCGCUGCGUCAUCCUUUCGUCCGUCGGCGGAAGGUCGUCGCGAGUCCGGGGCGUCCUCCUCGCGCGUCCGGGGCGGGACCGUGCCUCCGAGCGUCGCGAGUCCUGGGCGGUCUCCUCGCGCGUCCGGGCGGGACCGGCGGACCGCGCCUCCGAGCGUCGCGAGUCCGCGGCGAGCGGCCGGUCUCCGCGCGCGUCCGCGGCGAGCGGCCGGUCUCCGCGUGCGUCCGGGCGGGUACGUGCCUCCGCGCGUCGCGCGUCCGGGCAGGUCCGCUGCUUCGAGCGUCGCGCGUCCGAGCGUAGCUCGUCCGAGCCGUCGGUCUCAGGUCGUCCUCUCCCCGUUCAUCGUCCAGGGCGUCUUCACAGGCCGCGCCGUCCUCUCCCCCUCAGAUCCCGUCGGUAGCAGGUAGGAGGCCGAGCCACCAUGCCCUCUUCGACCUUUGAGCGGGAUGAGGAGCGAGCAGAUCGACAAGGCGCGCCCUUUCCUCCUCCCUAGCUCGAUCCCAUCCUACUCUGUCCAGAUCCAAGUGAUUUUAACAUUUAUUUAUACCCUAGGUGUGUCGAAAGCAGGGGAAUUCAUUGCAGAUGCCAUAUCUAGAGUAGGGAACGGGAUUUGAAAAACAGAAGAUGUUUUGAUCUAAUUGGGAUCCGCUGCCUCUUGGAGUCUGAAGUGGCAGGGCACUGCGUUGGGAGUGCUGGUGUCCAAGGCAGCACUAGCAUAAGCAGGAGAAUGCAUUAAUGAAAUGAGUAAUCCAGGCUUUGCGCUAUCUUAGGCAGGUUGCUCAUGAAGAUACCCAUUCUGUAAUAAUUGGAUGCACACAGUAGCAUGCUGCUUUACACGAUAUUAGGUAAAAGCUGACCAGGUUUAAAGAAGCCCUCAAUGGGCUUGCUGAGGCUGGAUGGCCUGUGAUUGAAAGUGGAGUGGACGAUAUUUUUAUCUCUGUUAACUCAUUCCUGAAUAAAGUGAUCGAUUGCAUGAAACUUACAAUAAUGGAUCGCUUUUAGUCAGUAGCAGUGUACUCUAUGCAAAUGCAUCGAUGCUACAGCAGUUUUUUGUGUAGAUCCCACUUGGGCACUAGCGCUACCACUUGUGGUGUAAUAUCUUUCACUUGUUGACCAUCAAUCCAUCUAUUAGAUAUAGAUUUCCUUGGCUGAUCUUCAUAGUGCAGUGCCAAUGGAAGCUACAAUCUUGCCACCUUGGUAAGUUCAAUUCCUCGUGUACUCUAUUCCUAGUUAGACCUUAUGCUAGUAUUGGUCAUUGCGGUUAAUUCUAAAAAUCUUGCACUCAUGUGAACAGUUCUACUGCCACCUGUUUACUGAAUUGGGCUUAGUCCAUUCUAUGCCAAUAUAUACUCAUGGCCUCCCUCUGUUAUGUUUUCUCCAUCAUGUCUAAUUGGAUCAGGAUCUUUUAGUUGUGCUUAUAUUCAUGGCUCCAUGCUAUUCUGUUUCAGUUUUCUCUGCUUGCCUAAUGCCUAUAUUUUCUUUUUUUCCACUCCACAAUUGUACUUCUCAUUUUUCCUUUUGCUAUGCAAGAUUCGAACAUGGUAAACAAAGCAUGUAUAUUGAUAUGAUCUUGUUUUACGAGGAAUCCCUGAACUUAUUCAGAGGGGCUGAUCAGAAUUUUUUGACAGAUACACUAUUGUUUCAUUCCCUAACAUGGGGACAGUGUCUUUGGUGGAUGACAGGCUCGAUUCUGCUAUGGUUGCAAGACACAUACCUAAACAUAUAGUUGCAAAUAUUUGUGACCAUGUCAGUAAUAUGUGUGAGGAAAUCAUAAUAAAUUGUCACUGAUUUUGUACAAAGGUAUUUAGUUUAAAUACAUAAUUCUUUAAUCCAAAAAUUAAAUUCUAGACAUUAGGAGCUUAUCUGUGCAGUCAAGAUGUGCUCUGUUGAUUUCAUUUCUUGUAAGCUAUUAUAUUGUGCUUAACUUUUUAAAUUCUAGACAUUAGGAGCUUAUCUGUGCAGUCAAGAUGUGCUCUGUUGAUUUCAUUUCUUGUAAGCUAUUAUAUUGUCCUUUCAAUUAACACUUGAGUCAUGCAAGAUUUGGUAUGUUGACUAUGUUGUUGCAUUUUCUAUUCAUCCAACUCAUGGCAAAGGAAGCAACAUUUUCCGGAUACUGUGGAGCUAUCUGGAUGGGGUGUACGAUGUAUGCUGCCCAGCUUCUCGUCUCAAUGCUCUUGGUUGUGAGUUCGUAUCCAUCUUAAUUAAGCUUAAAUGAAAUGUGCUCACAAAUUUGGUUGGACUAUCAAAUGUGCAGUUUCGGCUGAAGCUUUUAAACUAUUGUUAUUCCUCAAAAUGGCCACAAAUGCAUUCACGUUUGCUUUUCUUUUACUACCUUGAAAUUCGUUGAACCAAAUAUACCGUCAAAUGAGAGAUUCAGAUUUCUGCUAUCAAUUUUGUUGGAAACUUCUGGUCUUCUUGUUUGAGAGUGCUGGAAGCUUUUGCUCAUUGUAGUUUGUUUUAGCCUUGUGGAAUAUUGGCUAUUACUGUCAAUUGGUGGAUAAAUAAUCUAUCUUCUAUUGACCACCUGUUGUAUAUGAUGUAAAAGUAAACUAGGUAACUAAGUCUGAAUCUCCAACUAUAGUUGAAAUAACACUGCAUUGGAAUUGACCAUUAUGUUGAUAUUUCAAGUUUGUAGGACAAAAAGUAUUGUGCCUUUUUAUUACAUUAUCAUGUGAUCAUCUCUAGCCUUCCAUUUGAACUCUUGCAUGCAUCAUUGUAAAUGUGGUUGCAAUACCCUUUGUCAGAGUAUCACAACCUAAAUAUAACCCUGACAUUGCUAAAUAUUUGCAACUUUACCUGUUUUUUAUCCCUUAAAUGUUUUGAUCCCUGGACCCAUGUUGACAUGUGUAUAGUUGCACUAGCCUACUGUCACAGUGCUAAUGCUUUAAAAUAUAGUGGUCAAGAGAAUCGUAGAUUCUCUGAGGUAGUAUAAAAAAGGUUAAGAUUUAAAUUAUAUGGAGUUUUAGAAGACAAGCAUGUUCUAACAGUUUCUUCAUAUGCUCUCAUCCUUUUUUAUGUAAAUUUCUUUCCCAUAGUUAUAUAUGUGGUGCUAUCUCUGUUGUGGUGCUAUCUUUGUUCCAAAUAUUUCUUUAAAUUAUAUGGAGUUUUAAAGACAGACAUGUUCUAACUCUUACUUAUAGCUUGAUAAAAUAAUAUAGUUGUGGUGCUAUCUUUGUUCCAAAUAUUUCCAAUACCGUAAAAAUAUUAUAUUCUGUCUUUGGUUUGGGACAGAGAAAAAUUGAGAGCCUUGAGGUUCUACGCUUACCACUAUACAUGAAUCUUUAUUUAACCUGCCUGCUGAUGUGUGCUCUCACCAGUUACAUAUUUUUUUCUAAUUUUAUUAGUUAGCCUUCUUCGACCAGUAGGUGAUGUUGGCCUCAUCGGUACUCAUCAGCAACUAGUGUGCAGCUAGCACGAUUUUAUGAUUUAUCUAUCUUGAUUUAUGUAUGCACUAGCUGACAUUAAAGGAACAAAUUUAUUAUGACUACUACAAACGUGAGCAUUUGUAUCGCUUUUACCAUGUACAACUUCCCGUUACUUGCUCUGCCACUAUACUGAAUUUUGAUCUGUACUACCAUUUACUUUUGUAAGUUUGACCUCCUCUAAUGCACACAUGUUCUGCUAUAGUCAACCUGGGGCAAAUGCACCAUUCGGAGUCGGCACCAUUCCUACCAAUCGCAUCAACCAGUUGUACAUGUACUAAUAAGAACUGUACGACCACUAUGCAACACAGCCUGCUUGGAGUCAUGCUUUGCCCCCGUUCUUUUUUAUUUUUUCAACCAUCUUCCUUUCCUAGUCAAUGUAUCAUGAUCUAUUAGUACAUGUAUUAUUUCCCAAUUUGACGUUAUUCGUUUUUAAUCACAGAUAUCACUGGUUCAUAUU